This 428-nucleotide long non-coding RNA is filed under the name Macaca mulatta (Rhesus monkey). RNAcentral's name for it is "lncRNA (ENSMMUG00000058893.1)". The record is from RNAcentral. Lineage: Eukaryota; Metazoa; Chordata; Mammalia; Primates; Cercopithecidae.
AGCCAGCACACUGGACCCAGCUGAUUCUAAGGAGCAGAGUGGAUGGCCCAUUACACUUAGAACCCUUGGCAUCCAAAUUGUCAGCAACUCAUCGGCUAGUGUUUCUUUCUUGAAGGGUGAAGUCUCAAUCCUCAGAUGUUCUAGGAGUGAGCAAACACUGGAGAUAUCAUUGUGAGUUUUUCUUGGAGCCAUUUAUAAUUCAAAAUCAUGGAAGUCCCAAGUUCUUUGCCCAAAAAGUACCUUCCACAGAGAAGGCAGUCAAUAAAUGCUUAGUGAAUUUGGCCUCAAAUAUGUCUCAAUCUGUCUUACUGUACAACAUGAAUCCAAGUGAAAAUGAGAAAACAACCAUUUGGAACAACACCUAUGAUGUUUGGAAACAUCUCUUAUGUGUAGGCAAGUUCUUAGUGGCCUUUGGAGGUGUAGGCUAG